GUGGGGAAUAUUGCGCAAUGGAGGCAACUCUGACGCAGCCAUGCCGCGUGCGGGAAGAAGGCGCUACGCGUUGUAAACUGCUUUUAACCGGGAAGAAACCCCAGGACGUGUCCUGGGUUGACGGUACCGGAGGAAUAAGCACCGGCUAACUUCGUGCCAGCAGCCGCGGUAAUACGAAGGGUGCAAGCGUUAUCCGGAUUCAUUGGGUUUAAAGGGUGCGUAGGCGGAGCGUUAAGUCAGUGGUGAAAUCCUGCAGCUUAACUGUAGACUUGCCAUUGAUACUGGCGCUCUUGAGUGCGCUUGAAGUGGGCGGAAUGUGCCGUGUAGCGGUGAAAUGCUUAGAUAUGGCACAGAACACCAAUUGCGAAGGCAGCUCACUAAGGCGAUACUGACGCUGAGGCACGAAAGCGUGGGGAUCGAACAGGAUUAGAAACCCGAGUAGUCC
RNAcentral lists this ribosomal RNA (445 nucleotides) under uncultured bacterium. RNAcentral's name for it is "partial 16S ribosomal RNA". It matches the Rfam family "Bacterial small subunit ribosomal RNA", at positions 354 to 796 of the family's 1533-position model. The record is from RNAcentral.